GAUGAACGCUAGCGGCAGGCUUAAUACAUGCAAGUCGAGGGGCAGCACGAAUAGCAAUAUUUGGUGGCGACCGGCGCACGGGUGCGUAACACGUAUACAACCUACCUAUAACAGGGGGAUAGCCUUUCGAAAGAGAGAUUAAUACCCCGUAAUAAAUUGAAUGGCAUCAUUUGAUUUUGAAAGCUACGGCGGUUAUAGAUGGGUAUGCGUUUGAUUAGCUAGUUGGUGAGGUAACGGCCCACCAAGGCGACGAUCAGUAGCCGGCCUGAGAGGGUGAUCGGCCACACUGGAACUGAGACACGGUCCAGACUCCUACGGGAGGCAGCAGUGGGGAAUUUUGCGCAAUGGACGAAAGUCUGACGCAGCAACGCCGCGUGGGUGAUGAAGGUCUUCGGAUUGUAAAACCCUGUCGCCAGGGACGAAGGGUGGGGCGUGAAUAGCGUUCUACUUUGACGGUACCUGGAAAGGAAGCCCCGGCUAACUCUGUGCCAGCAGCCGCGGUAAGGUAG
RNAcentral lists this ribosomal RNA (509 nucleotides) under uncultured bacterium. RNAcentral describes it as "bacterial SSU rRNA". It matches the Rfam family "Bacterial small subunit ribosomal RNA", at positions 28 to 528 of the family's 1533-position model. The record is from RNAcentral.